Molecule: ribosomal RNA, 499 nt
Filed under: uncultured bacterium
Lineage: Bacteria
Description: partial 16S ribosomal RNA
Rfam family: Bacterial small subunit ribosomal RNA
Source: RNAcentral
GACGAACGCUGGCGGCGUGCCUAAUACAUGCAAGUCGAGCGAAGUUUUUCUGGUGCUUGCCCUAGAAAAACUUAGCGGCGAACGGGUGAGUAACACGUAAAGAACCUGCCUCAUAGACUGGGACAACUAUUGGAAACGAUAGCUAAUACCGGAUAACAGUAUUUCUCGCAUGAGAGAUAUUUAAAAGUUGGUUAUGCUAACACUAUGAGAUGGCUUUGCGGUGCAUUAGCUAGUUGGUGGGGUAAAGGCCCACCAAGGCGACGAUGCAUAGCCGACCUGAGAGGGUUAUCGGCCACACUGGGACUGAGACACGGCCCAGACUCCUACGGGAGGCAGCAGUAGGGAAUCUUCCGCAAUGGGCGAAAGCCUGACGGAGCAACGCCGCGUGAGUGAAGAAGGAUUUCGGUUCGUAAAGCUCUGUUGUUAGGGAAGAAUGGAUAUGUAGUAACUAUACAUGUAAGAGACGGUACCUAACCAGAAAGCCACGGCUAACUACGUG